AUUGAACGCUGGUGGAAUGCUUUACACAUGCAAGUCGAACGGCAGCACGGACUUCGGUCUGGUGGCGAGUGGCGAACGGGUGAGUAAUAUAUCGGAACGUGCCCAGUCGUGGGGGAUAACGUAGCGAAAGCUACGCUAAUACCGCAUACGAUCUACGGAUGAAAGCGGGGGAUCGCAAGACCUCGCGCGAUUGGAGCGGCCGAUAUCAGAUUAGGUAGUUGGUGAGGUAAAGGCUCACCAAGCCGACGAUCUGUAGCUGGUCUGAGAGGACGCCCAGCCACACUGGGACUGAGACACGGCCCAGACUCCGACGGGAGCCAGCAGUGGGGAAUUUAGGACAAUGGACGCAAGUCUGAUCCAGCCAUUCCGCGUGCAGGACGAAGGCCUUCGGGUUGUAAACUGCUUUUGUACAGAACGAAAAGGUCUCUAUUAAUACUAGGGGCUUAUGACGGUACUGUAAGAAUAAGCACCGGCUAACUACGUGCCAGCCGCCGCGGUAA
RNAcentral lists this ribosomal RNA (500 nucleotides) under uncultured bacterium. Its description in RNAcentral is "partial 16S ribosomal RNA". It matches the Rfam family "Bacterial small subunit ribosomal RNA", at positions 30 to 523 of the family's 1533-position model. The record is from RNAcentral.